Molecule: ribosomal RNA, 1488 nt
Filed under: uncultured Variovorax sp.
Lineage: Bacteria; Pseudomonadati; Pseudomonadota; Betaproteobacteria; Burkholderiales; Comamonadaceae
Description: bacterial SSU rRNA
Rfam family: Bacterial small subunit ribosomal RNA
Source: RNAcentral
UUGAUCCUGGCUCAGAUUGAACGCUGGCGGCAUGCCUUACACAUGCAAGUCGAACGGCAGCACGGGAGCAAUCCUGGUGGCGAGUGGCGAACGGGUGAGUAAUACAUCGGAACGUGCCCAAUCGUGGGGGAUAACGCAGCGAAAGCUGUGCUAAUACCGCAUAAGAUCUACGGAUGAAAGCAGGGGAUCGCAAGACCUUGCGCGAAUGGAGCGGCCGAUGGCAGAUUAGGUAGUUGGUGAGGUAAAGGCUCACCAAGCCUUCGAUCUGUAGCUGGUCUGAGAGGACGACCAGCCACACUGGGACUGAGACACGGCCCAGACUCCUACGGGAGGCAGCAGUGGGGAAUUUUGGACAAUGGGCGCAAGCCUGAUCCAGCCAUGCCGCGUGCAGGAUGAAGGCCUUCGGGUUGUAAACUGCUUUUGUACGGAACGAAAAGGUCUUUUCUAAUAAAGAGAGCUCAUGACGGUACCGUAAGAAUAAGCACCGGCUAACUACGUGCCAGCAGCCGCGGUAAUACGUAGGGUGCAAGCGUUAAUCGGAAUUACUGGGCGUAAAGCGUGCGCAGGCGGUGAUGUAAGACAAUUGUGAAAUCCCCGGGCUCAACCUGGGAACUGCAUCUGUGACUGCAUCGCUGGAGUACGGAAAAGGGGGAUGGAAUUCCCCGUGUAGCAGUGAAAUGCGUAGAUAUGCGGAGGAACACCGAUGGCGAAGGCAAUCCCCUGGGCCUGYACUGACGCUCAUGCACGAAAGCGUGGGGAGCAAACAGGAUUAGAUACCCUGGUAGUCCACGCCCUAAACGAUGUCAACUGGUUGUUGGGUCUUCACUGACUCAGUAACGAAGCUAACGCGUGAAGUUGACCGCCUGGGGAGUACGGCCGCAAGGUUAAAACUCAAAGGAAUUGACGGGGACCCGCACAAGCGGUGGAUGAUGUGGUUUAAUUCGAUGCAACGCGAAAAACCUUACCCACCUUUGACAUGUACGGAAUUUGCCAGAGAUGGCUUAGUGCUCGAAAGAGAACCGUAACACAGGUGCUGCAUGGCUGUCGUCAGCUCGUGUCGUGAGAUGUUGGGUUAAGUCCCGCAACGAGCGCAACCCUUGUCAUUAGUUGCUACAUUUAGUUGGGCACUCUAGUGAGACUGCCGGUGACAAACCGGAGGAAGGUGGGGAUGACGUCAAGUCCUCAUGGCCCUUAUAGGUGGGGCUACACACGUCAUACAAUGGCUGGUACAAAGGGUUGCCAACCCGCGAGGGGGAGCUAAUCCCAUAAAACCAGUCGUAGUCCGGAUCGCAGUCUGCAACUCGACUGCGUGAAGUCGGAAUCGCUAGUAAUCGUGGAUCAGAAUGUCACGGUGAAUACGUUCCCGGGUCUUGUACACACCGCCCGUCACACCAUGGGAGCGGGUUCUGCCAGAAGUAGUUAGCCUAACCGCAAGGAGGGCGAUUACCACGGCAGGGUUCGUGACUGGGGUGAAGUCGUAACAAGGUA